GACGAACGCUGGCGGCGUGCCUAAUACAUGCAAGUAGAACGCUGAAGAGAGGAGCUUGCUCUUCUUGGCUGAGUUGCGAACGGGUGAGUAACGCGUAGGUAACCUGCCUUGUAGCGGGGGAUAACUAUUGGAAACGAUAGCUAAUACCGCAUAACAAUGGAUGACACAUGUCAUUUAUUUGAAAGGGGCAAUUGCUCCACUACAAGAUGGACCUGCGUUGUAUUAGCUAGUAGGUGAGGUAAUGGCUCACCUAGGCGACGAUACAUAGCCGACCUGAGAGGGUGAUCGGCCACACUGGGACUGAGACACGGCCCAGACUCCUACGGGAGGCAGCAGUAGGGAAUCUUCGGCAAUGGGGGCAACCCUGACCGAGCAACGCCGCGUGAGUGAAGAAGGGUUUCGGAUCGUAAAGCUCUGUUGUAAGUCAAGAACGGGUGUGAGAGUGGAAAGUUCACACUGUGACGGUAGCUUACCAGAAAGGGACGGCUAACUACGUG
This 497-nucleotide ribosomal RNA is filed under the name uncultured bacterium. RNAcentral's name for it is "partial 16S ribosomal RNA". It matches the Rfam family "Bacterial small subunit ribosomal RNA", at positions 28 to 507 of the family's 1533-position model. The record is from RNAcentral.